This 420-nucleotide ribosomal RNA is filed under the name Klebsiella aerogenes. RNAcentral's name for it is "bacterial SSU rRNA". It matches the Rfam family "Bacterial small subunit ribosomal RNA", at positions 72 to 485 of the family's 1533-position model. The record is from RNAcentral. Lineage: Bacteria; Pseudomonadati; Pseudomonadota; Gammaproteobacteria; Enterobacterales; Enterobacteriaceae.
GAAGCAGCUUGCUGCUUCGCUGACGAGUGGCGGACGGGUGAGUAAUGUCUGGGAAACUGCCUGAUGGAGGGGGAUAACUACUGGAAACGGUAGCUAAUACCGCAUAACGUCGCAAGACCAAAGAGGGGGACCUUCGGGCCUCUUGCCAUCGGAUGUGCCCAGAUGGGAUUAGCUAGUAGGUGGGGUAACGGCUCACCUAGGCGACGAUCCCUAGCUGGUCUGAGAGGAUGACCAGCCACACUGGAACUGAGACACGGUCCAGACUCCUACGGGAGGCAGCAGUGGGGAAUAUUGCACAAUGGGCGCAAGCCUGAUGCAGCCAUGCCGCGUGUAUNAAGAAGGCCUUCGGGUUGUAAAGUACUUUCAGCGGGGAGGAAGGCGAUNAGGUUAAUUACCUUGUCGAUUGACGUUACCCGCUAA